This 45-nucleotide non-coding RNA is filed under the name Trichobilharzia regenti. The record is from RNAcentral. Lineage: Eukaryota; Metazoa; Platyhelminthes; Trematoda; Strigeidida; Schistosomatidae.
AUCCGGUUGACGAGUCCCAAAUAGGACGAAAUGCCCAACCAGGAU